UACGUAGGGUGCGAGCGUUAAUCGGAAUUACUGGGCGUAAAGCGUGCGCAGGCGGUUUUGUAAGCCAGAUGUGAAAGCCCCGGGCUUAACCUGGGAAUGGCAUUUGGGACUGCAAGGCUUGAGUGCGGCAGAGGAGACUGGAAUUCCUGGUGUAGCAGUGAAAUGCGUAGAUAUCGUAAGGAAGACCAGUGGCGAAGGCGGGUCUCUGGACAGUUCCUGACGCUGAGGCACGAAGGCCAGGGGAGCAAACGGG
RNAcentral lists this ribosomal RNA (253 nucleotides) under uncultured bacterium. Its description in RNAcentral is "partial 16S ribosomal RNA". It matches the Rfam family "Bacterial small subunit ribosomal RNA", at positions 524 to 776 of the family's 1533-position model. The record is from RNAcentral.